RNAcentral lists this ribosomal RNA (442 nucleotides) under Enterococcus faecium. RNAcentral's name for it is "bacterial SSU rRNA". It matches the Rfam family "Bacterial small subunit ribosomal RNA", at positions 318 to 752 of the family's 1533-position model. Lineage: Bacteria; Bacillati; Bacillota; Bacilli; Lactobacillales; Enterococcaceae. The record is from RNAcentral.
ACUGAGACACGGCCCAAACUCCUACGGGAGGCUGCAGUAGGGAAUCUUCCACAAUGGGCGAAAGCCUGAUGGAGCAACGCCGCGUGUGUGAUGAAGGCUUUCGGGUCGUAAAGCACUGUUGUAUGGGAAGAACAGCUAGAAUAGGAAAUGAUUUUAGUUUGACGGUACCAUACCAGAAAGGGACGGCUAAAUACGUGCCAGCAGCCGCGGUAAUACGUAUGUCCCGAGCGUUAUCCGGAUUUAUUGGGCGUAAAGCGAGCGCAGACGGUUUAUUAAGUCUGAUGUGAAAGCCCGGAGCUCAACUCCGGAAUGGCAUUGGAAACUGGUUAACUUGAGUGCAGUAGAGGUAAGUGGAACUCCAUGUGUAGCGGUGGAAUGCGUAGAUAUAUGGAAGAACACCAGUGGCGAAGGCGGCUUACUGGACUGCAACUGACGUUGAGGC